Molecule: ribosomal RNA, 776 nt
Filed under: uncultured Neocallimastigales
Lineage: Eukaryota; Fungi; Neocallimastigomycota; Neocallimastigomycetes; Neocallimastigales
Description: partial large subunit ribosomal RNA
Rfam family: Eukaryotic large subunit ribosomal RNA
Source: RNAcentral
GUACACGCUGUGACUAGCAUAUCAAUAAGCGGAGGAAAAGAAACUAACAAGGAUUCCCCUAGUAACGGCGAGUGAAGCGGGAAGAGCUCAAAUUUGAAAUCUUAAAGGGUUUCCCUUUACGAAUUGUAGUUUAAAGAAGUGUUUUCUGUUGAGGUUUUGGUAAAAGUUCUUUGGAAUUAGGACAUCAUAGAGGGUGAGAAUCCCGUAUUUGACCUUUACUUUCAACUUUGUGAUACACUUUCAAAGAGUCGGAUUGUUUGGGAAUGCAGUCCAAAAUGGGUGGUAAAUUUCAUCUAAAGCUAAAUAUUGGCGAGAGACCGAUAGCGAACAAGUACCGUGAGGGAAGGAUGAAAAGAACUUUGAAAAGAGAGUUAAACAGUACGUGAAAUUGUCAAAAGGGAAGCGUUUGACACCAGUGUUGUUUUUCUGAAAAUCAAUUAAAGAACUGUUUAUGCUAAGCUGUUUAGACUUUAUCAGCUAUCUGUUUAGUUUUGAGCUUUUCUUUAAUGCACUUUUCAGUUAACAAGUCAACAUCAAUUUCUUUUGCUGUAAAAAAGCUUGAGGAAGGUGGCUUGAGAUUCGUCUUAAGUGUUUAUAGCCUCUUGCCUAUGCAGUCGGAGAGAUCGAGGAUCUGCAGCGUAGAUCCUUCGGGGCUAAAUGCAUUUGUGCUAAGUUAUAGCAUUUUAUAGACAACUUGUUGACUAUGAUUUGUCUUGUAGCUUACUCGCUUAUGUUAUUUUACCUACGCUUAGGAUGUUGAAGUCAUCGUAUCGCGC